RNAcentral lists this ribosomal RNA (195 nucleotides) under Triticum aestivum (bread wheat). RNAcentral's name for it is "partial small subunit ribosomal RNA". The record is from RNAcentral. Lineage: Eukaryota; Viridiplantae; Streptophyta; Magnoliopsida; Poales; Poaceae.
AUGGUAUUGAGUAUUGCAAUAUCAAACUUUACAUUCAUUGUUCCUAAUUUCUGGAACAGGGUGAUAGCUUCGUCUGCACAAUUAUUUCUACAAAGACCUCUAAGUAUUAUACUGUAUGUAGAAAUACUCACUGUUAUUCCAUUUUCCGUCAUCUCAUGGAACAUUUUUCUUGCGGCAACAGUUCUCCCAUUUUAA